RNAcentral lists this ribosomal RNA (362 nucleotides) under uncultured soil bacterium. RNAcentral describes it as "bacterial SSU rRNA". It matches the Rfam family "Bacterial small subunit ribosomal RNA", at positions 26 to 412 of the family's 1533-position model. The record is from RNAcentral.
AGAACGAACGCUGGCGGCAGGCUUAACACAUGCAAGUCGAGCGGUUGUAGCAAUACAGCAGUGGCAGACGGGUGAGUAACACGUGGGAACCUUCCUAGGGGUACGGAACAACUCAGGGAAACUUGAGCUAAUACCGUAUACGUCCGUGAGGAGAAAGAUUUAUCGCCCCUAGACGGGCCCGCGUAGGAUUAGGUAGUUGGUGAGGUAACGGCUCACCAAGCCUACGAUCCUUAGCUGAUCUGAGAGGAUGAUCAGCCACACUGGGACUGAGACACGGCCCAGACUCCUACGGGAGGCAGCAGUGGGGAAUCGUUGGACAAUGGGCGCAAGCCUGAUCCGAGCCAUGCCGCGUGAGUGAAGAA